GGAUGCCUUGGCAGUCAGAGGCGAUGAAGGACGUAUUAACUUGCGAUAAGCCCAGAUUAGGUAGUAAAAACCACUUGAGUCUGGGAUUUCCGAAUGGGGAAACCCACUAGCAUAAGCUAGUAUCGCUGCGUGAAUACAUAGCGCAGCGAGGCGAACCGGGGGAACUGAAACAUCUAAGUACCCCGAGGAAAAGAAAUCAACCGAGAUUCCGAAAGUAGCGGCGAGCGAAAUUGGACUAGCCCUUAAGCUUUUUAUGCGUCAGGUGAAACUUCUGGAAAGUUGUGCGAUACAGGGUGAUAG
Molecule: ribosomal RNA, 300 nt
Filed under: Vibrio harveyi
Lineage: Bacteria; Pseudomonadati; Pseudomonadota; Gammaproteobacteria; Vibrionales; Vibrionaceae
Description: bacterial LSU rRNA
Rfam family: Bacterial large subunit ribosomal RNA
Source: RNAcentral